UUACACCGUGUCUGGAUCCUCCACCUCUUU
RNAcentral lists this non-coding RNA (30 nucleotides) under Mus musculus (house mouse). Lineage: Eukaryota; Metazoa; Chordata; Mammalia; Rodentia; Muridae. The record is from RNAcentral.